AUAUUGGCGAGAGACCGAUAGCGCACAAGUAGAGUGAUCGAAAGAUGAAAAGCACUUUGGAAAGAGAGUUAAAAGCACGUGAAAUUGUUGAAAGGGAAGCGCUUGCAAUCAGACUUGUUUAAACUGUUCGGCCGGUCUUCUGACCGGUUUACUCAGUUUGGACAGGCCAGCAUCAGUUUCGGCGGCCGGAUAAAGGCUCUGGGAAUGUGGCCUCCACUUCGGUGGAGGUGUUAUAGCCCAGGGUGUAAUACGGCCAGCCGGGACUGAGGUCCGCGCUUCGGCUAGGAUGCUGGCGUAAUGGUUGUAAGCGACCCGUCUUGAAACACGGACC
RNAcentral lists this ribosomal RNA (331 nucleotides) under uncultured fungus. RNAcentral describes it as "LSU rRNA". It matches the Rfam family "Eukaryotic large subunit ribosomal RNA", at positions 320 to 667 of the family's 3401-position model. The record is from RNAcentral. Lineage: Eukaryota; Fungi.